UUUUCUGUGGCGGUGUUGGUUAACGCGCCCUGUCUAGCGAGUUUAGGAAGACGUGGGUUCAAUCCCCAUCAGAACUA
Molecule: non-coding RNA, 77 nt
Organism: Aedes albopictus (Asian tiger mosquito)
Lineage: Eukaryota; Metazoa; Arthropoda; Insecta; Diptera; Culicidae
Source: Rfam